CCCUUAGAUGUUCUGGGCCGCACGCGCGCUACACUGUUCGACGCAGCGAGUCUUAACCUUGACCGAAAGGUUUGGGUAAUCUUCAGCAAAGUCGAACGUGAUGGGGAUCGAUCAUUGCAAUUAUUGAUCGUGAACGAGGAAUUCCUAGUAAGUGCAGGUCAUCAGCUUGCGCUGAUUACGUCCCUGCCCUUUGUACACACCGCCCGUCGCUACUACCGAUUGAAUGGUUUAGUGAGAUCUCUGGAUUGACGCUGGCUAGGGGGCGACCCUUGGCCAGACUGUUGAGAAACUGCUCAAACUUGAUCAUUUAGAGGAAGUAAAAGUCGUAACA
This 331-nucleotide ribosomal RNA is filed under the name uncultured eukaryote. RNAcentral describes it as "partial 18S ribosomal RNA". It matches the Rfam family "Eukaryotic small subunit ribosomal RNA", at positions 1470 to 1796 of the family's 1831-position model. The record is from RNAcentral.